Molecule: ribosomal RNA, 629 nt
Filed under: uncultured Russulaceae
Lineage: Eukaryota; Fungi; Basidiomycota; Agaricomycetes; Russulales; Russulaceae
Description: LSU rRNA
Rfam family: Eukaryotic large subunit ribosomal RNA
Source: RNAcentral
UAAGCGGAGGAAAGAAACUAACAAGGAUUCCCCUAGUAACUGCGAGUGAAGCGGGAAAAGCUCAAAUUNGGAAUCUGGUGGUCUUUGNCCAUCCGAGUUGUAAUUUAGAGAAGCGUCUUCCGCGCUGGACCGUGCACAAGUCUCCUGGAAUGGAGCGUCAUAGAGGGUGAGAAUCCCGUCUUUGGCAUGGAAUCCCAGGGCUUCUGUGAUGCGCUCUCGACGAGUCGAGUUGUUUGGGAAUGCAGCUCAAAAUGGGUGGUGAACUCCAUCUAAAGCUAAAUAUUGGCGAGAGACCGAUAGCGAACAAGUACCGUGAGGGAAAGAUGAAAAGCACUUUGGAAAGAGAGUGAAACAGUACGUGAAAUUGUUGAAAGGGAAACGCUUGAAGUCAGUCGCGUCGACCGAGACUCAGCCUUGCCUCGGCUUGGUGUACUUCUCGGCUUGACGGGUCAGCAUCGAUUUCAAUCCUCGGAUAAUGGCAAGGGAAAGGUAGCACCUUUUUAGGUGUGUUAUAGUCCUCUGUCGCUUGCGAGGGUCGGGAUCGAGGAACUCAGCACGCACCUCAGGGUGUCGGGGCCUUGGCCCACGUUUACGUGCUUAGGAUGCUGGCGUAAUGGCUUUAAACGACC